Molecule: non-coding RNA, 843 nt
Filed under: Trichomonas vaginalis G3
Lineage: Eukaryota; Parabasalia; Trichomonadida; Trichomonadidae
Description: Eukaryotic large subunit ribosomal RNA
Rfam family: Eukaryotic large subunit ribosomal RNA
Source: Rfam by way of RNAcentral
GUAGUCUGCCAUACGCAGGAAGACCCGCUGAACUGAAGCAUCUCAUUAAGCGGAGGAAAAGAAACUAACUAGGAUUCCCUUAGUAAAGGCGAUCGAAAAGGGAACAGCCCAACGUCUUAAUCCCGCAAGGGAAAUGUAGUCGGUUCACCUAUUGCACUGGUCUAAGUCAGAUGGAAUGCUGCGCGAUUCAGAGUAAAAGCCUCGUAUGACCAACCGCAAGCUUACGAUGGACCGGGGAGAGUCGGAUACUUUGAGAGUAGUGUCUUAAGGGGGUGGUAUGUCCCAUCCAAGGCUAAAUAACGUGAGGAGACCGAUAGAUUACAAGUAGUGUGAACGAAAGAUGAAAAGAACUCUAAAACAGAGGGUGAAAAGUUCCUGAACUUGCUUAGGGUUAAGGCUAUUUAUAGUACCCGUCUUGAAACACGGAUUAGGGAGUUUAUCUGUAGUGCGAGUCUUUGCACGUUAACUGUAAAGGCGUAGAGAAAGCAACUGGCGUUUGCAUGGCUACUGAGCAUUACUGAUAGGACCCGAAAGGUGGUGAACUUUGCCUGCACAGGUUGAAGUCAGGGGAAACUCUGAUGGAGGACCGUACGGGUUAUUGAUGUGCAAAUCAUUUUUCUGAUGUAGGUAAAGGUGCGAAAGACUCAUCGAACCACCUAAUAGCUGGUUUCCUCCGAAGUUUCCCUCAGGAUAGCUGUAAUGCAUUUAGUUAAGGGGAGUAGAGAUAUGGGUAGAGGUGCAGGGAGCCUUCGGGUUCUCAACUUAUUUCCAAACUUCGAACCUCCUUGUUAGGCAUUUACCUAACUGGAAAUGCUUAAAUGAAUUAGCGUUACAAGUGGGCUC